Molecule: ribosomal RNA, 468 nt
Filed under: uncultured bacterium
Lineage: Bacteria
Description: partial 16S ribosomal RNA
Rfam family: Bacterial small subunit ribosomal RNA
Source: RNAcentral
GACGAACGCUGGCGGCGUGCUUAACACAUGCAAGUCGAACGGAAAGGCGCGGAGCUUGUGGGGUGCUCGAGAGGCGAACGGGGGAGUAAAACGUGAGUAACCUGCCCUUGAAAGUCGGAGAAAAUCAGGAAACAGGGGCUAAAACAGGGGAGGAGCUCCUGCUGCACGGGGGGGGUUGGAAAGAGACGGCGGCGUGGGAUGGACUAGCGGGUUAUCAGCUGGUUGGGGGGGUAGGGGCUUCCAAAGGCUUUGACGGGUAGCCGGCCUGAGAGCGUGGCCGGCGACCUUGCUCCUGCGAUACGGCCCAGACUCCUACGGGCCGCAGCAGGGGGGAAUCUUGCGCAACGGGCGGACGCCUGUUGCAGCGACCUCGCGUUCGUGAUGCCCUCCUUCGGGUUGUAAACCGCUUUCUCCUGUGCCGAAGCCUGAUUGACGGUAACGGGUCAGGAAGCACCGGCUAACUACGUG